Molecule: ribosomal RNA, 510 nt
Filed under: uncultured bacterium
Lineage: Bacteria
Description: bacterial SSU rRNA
Rfam family: Bacterial small subunit ribosomal RNA
Source: RNAcentral
UUCUGGCUCAGGAUGAACGCUAGCGAUAGGCCUAACACAUGCAAGUCGAAGGGCAGCACAUGAGUAGCAAUACGAUGGUGGCGACCGGCGCACGGGUGAGUAACACGUAUGCAACCUACCUUUAACAGGGGAAUAACCCGUUGAAAAACGGACUAAUACUCCAUAACACAGGGGUCCCGCAUGGGAAUAUUUGUUAAAGAUUUAUCGGUUGAAGAUGGGCAUGCGUUCCAUUAGCUUGUUGGUGAGGUAACGGCUCACCAAGGCUACGAUGGAUAGGGGAACUGAGAGGUUUAUCCCCCACACUGGAACUGAGACACGGUCCAGACUCCUACGGGAGGCAGCAGUGAGGAAUAUUGGUCAAUGGAGGCAACUCUGAACCAGCCAAGUCGCGUGAAGGAUGAAGGUCUUAUGGAUUGUAAACUUCUUUUGCAAGGGAAUAAAGUGGGGGACGUGUCCUCCUUUGCAUGUACCUUGCGAAUAAGGAUCGGCUAACUCCGUGCCAGCCGCCGC